This 26-nucleotide small RNA is filed under the name Bombyx mori (domestic silkworm). RNAcentral's name for it is "ovarian small RNA-13161". The record is from RNAcentral. Lineage: Eukaryota; Metazoa; Arthropoda; Insecta; Lepidoptera; Bombycidae.
CAGAUUGACUGCACGUCGAGAGCGUA